CAGUGGGAGAUCACAAGACGUGCGCUUGUAAAAUGUCAACAACUGAAAAAACGUUGUGGUUGGCCUCAGAAUCAAUCGGUCAUCUCCGACUUUUCCCGGGACUCAUCGCCAUGACGUCACGAUUAACGCCCACAGCGCGUACCACAUAUAUAAAAGCUUCAGCAUUUCGACGUGGAGCAAACACGCCCGAACCAGAUCGACUUCAACAGCGUUCUUCGUAAUAGCGCAAACAUGAGGGGAUUUGCUUUCGUUGCACUCGUCUUUGUGGCUGUGGGGUGCUUGGGGAGUGACGUCAUGGCCCAGUCAACAACAGAAAUCAGCUGCUACGCCCCUAUCUCAGAUCGAUUGACUUUUUAUAUAAACUGCAGGAGACGAGGCGAGACAAUGUCCUUCAUAGGUAGUGGCUCGCCAGGGGACUGUUUCUGGGUGUGCUGAAACUACCUGACCUUUCAGGACUUCUCGUAGAUGUCUUCAUAGGAGAGUUGUCUCAAAUUGAAGUCAGGAAUAUUUAGAAUAUGCAGUUCAAUAAAUACUGCGCAGCUUA
Molecule: long non-coding RNA, 544 nt
Organism: Haliotis rubra (blacklip abalone)
Lineage: Eukaryota; Metazoa; Mollusca; Gastropoda; Lepetellida; Haliotidae
Exons: 2
Source: RefSeq, a predicted model, not a curated record